RNAcentral lists this ribosomal RNA (484 nucleotides) under uncultured bacterium. RNAcentral's name for it is "partial 16S ribosomal RNA". It matches the Rfam family "Bacterial small subunit ribosomal RNA", at positions 30 to 507 of the family's 1533-position model. The record is from RNAcentral.
AUUGAACGCUGGCGGCAGGCCUAACACAUGCAAGUCGAGCGGAUGAAGGGAGCUUGCUCCUGGAUUCAUCGGCGGACGGGUGAGUAAUGCCUAGGAAUCUGCCUGGUAGUGGGGGAUAACGUCCGGAAACGGGCGCUAAUACCGCAUACGUCCUGAGGGAGAAAGUGGGGGAUCUUCGGACCUCACGCUAUCAGAUGAGCCUAGGUCGGAUUAGCUAGUUGGUGGGGUAAAGGCCUACCAAGGCGACGAUCCGUAACUGGUCUGAGAGGAUGACCAGUCACACUGGAACUGAGACACGGUCCAGACUCCUACGGGAGGCAGCAGUGGGGAAUAUUGGACAAUGGGCGAAAGCCUGAUCCAGCCAUGCCGCGUGUGUGAAGAAGGUCUUCGGAUUGUAAAGCACUUUAAGUUGGGAGGAAGGGCAGUAAGUUAAUACCUUGCUGUUUUGACGUUACCAACAGAAUAAGCACCGGCUAACUUCGUG